RNAcentral lists this non-coding RNA (23 nucleotides) under Arabidopsis thaliana (thale cress). Lineage: Eukaryota; Viridiplantae; Streptophyta; Magnoliopsida; Brassicales; Brassicaceae. The record is from RNAcentral.
AUACGGUGGUAGUAAUGUGUGUG